GACGAACGCUGGCGGCGUGCCUAAUACAUGCAAGUUGAGCGCUGAAGGUUGGUACUUGUACCAACUGGAUGAGCAGCGAACGGGUGAGUAACGCGUGGGGAAUCUGCCUUUGAGCGGGGGACAACAUUUGGAAACGAAUGCUAAUACCGCAUAAAAACUUUAAACACAAGUUUUAAGUUUGAAAGAUGCAAUUGCAUCACUCAAAGAUGAUCCCGCGUUGUAUUAGCUAGUUGGUGAGGUAAAGGCUCACCAAGGCGAUGAUACAUAGCCGACCUGAGAGGGUGAUCGGCCAGAUUGGGACUGAGACACGGCCCAAACUCCUACGGGAGGCAGCAGUAGGGAAUCUUCGGCAAUGGACGAAAGUCUGACCGAGCAACGCCGCGUGAGUGAAGAAGGUUUUCGGAUCGUAAAACUCUGUUGGUAGAGAAGAACGUUGGUGAGAGUGGAAAGCUCAUCAAGUGACGGUAACUACCCAGAAAGGGACGGCUAACUACGUG
This 497-nucleotide ribosomal RNA is filed under the name uncultured bacterium. Its description in RNAcentral is "partial 16S ribosomal RNA". It matches the Rfam family "Bacterial small subunit ribosomal RNA", at positions 28 to 507 of the family's 1533-position model. The record is from RNAcentral.